UACGGGGGGGGCAAGCGUUGUUCGGAAUUACUGGGCGUAAAGGGCUCGUAGGCGGCCAACUAAGUCAGACGUGAAAUCCCUCGGCUUAACCGGGGAACUGCGUCUGAUACUGGAUGGCUUGAGGUUGGGAGAGGGAUACGGAAUUCCAGGUGUAGCGGUGAAAUGCGUAGAUAUCUGGAGGAACACCGGUGGCGAAGGCGGCAUCCUGGACCAAUUCUGACGCUGAGGAGCGAAAGCCAGGGGAGCAAACGGG
Molecule: ribosomal RNA, 253 nt
Filed under: uncultured bacterium
Lineage: Bacteria
Description: partial 16S ribosomal RNA
Rfam family: Bacterial small subunit ribosomal RNA
Source: RNAcentral